UUGAAAAUAUAAAAAAAGAGAAACAAAAGCCGGAGCCAGCGACCUCGCUCGAAUUUAUUCAAUCUUGGCGACAAGACUGAGUGUUUGCAGAACCAUAGGAGGAUCGUUGGAAGAGACGAAGACAGGGUAAUGGCUUAAACACACGAAUUGUAUUUAGGAAGACGUGCCGGCCAAACUAUUGCAAGUUUGACUGUUCAGCAUAAUGUUAGAACAACAAACUCUUCACCUAUGCACGGUCAUCAGCCCCCGCCAGGUCCUGGCCUGUCAUUUGUGUCACAAGGAAGUACCACACCUGGUCAUGUGUCAGGAAUUGGAGAGAUAACAGCUUACUUAGAAGUAAAUUGAAGGCAGCCAACAAUUGGACGGUGGUGCCAAUCAAUGAAAAGAAGGGAUACACGUACAUGCACUGAGUACACAGAGAUCAUCAAGGAAAAAACCCUUCGAUCAAAGUUCCUUUUUGAUUCAGCUUAUCCAAAGCUGAUUGCCUCUACAAUUGCCCCUUAUAUAUCCACCUGCGGCUAAUGAGGAGCUGCAAUAUCCAAUAGGUCAAGGGCAAGCAACCUGGAAACAAUAUGAAGAUUUACUCAUACAAAUUGGUACAUGGUGUAUGUAACUAUGUUGUUUUAACUAACUUCAACAUACCAUUAUUAUGAAUUAAAAAAUUGACAAAGCUGAAAUCAAUGAUAACUGUU
Long non-coding RNA from Dreissena polymorpha, 692 nucleotides. RefSeq lists it as uncharacterized. The record is from RefSeq and is a predicted model, not a curated record. The transcript has 3 exons. Lineage: Eukaryota; Metazoa; Mollusca; Bivalvia; Myida; Dreissenidae.